GUAGGGGGCAAGCGUUGUCCGGAAUGACUGGGCGUAAAGGGAGUGUAGGCGGCCUUGUAAGUUAGAUGUGAAAUCCUACGGCUUAACCGUAGAACUGCAUCUAAAACUGUGAGGCUGGAGUGCAGGAGAGGUGAGUGGAAUUCCUAGUGUAGCGGUGGAAUGCGUAGAUAUUAGGAGGAACACCAGAGGCGAAGGCGACUCACUGGACUGUAACUGACGCUGAGGCUCGAAAGCGUGGGGAGCAAA
Molecule: ribosomal RNA, 246 nt
Filed under: uncultured bacterium
Lineage: Bacteria
Description: partial 16S ribosomal RNA
Rfam family: Bacterial small subunit ribosomal RNA
Source: RNAcentral